CACGGGUCCCUAAGCAAAUUUACACAGUUUUGCGCUCCAAGGUCCCAAAUUCCAAAUCUUUACAGCCAAGUUUUACAAGCCCCUGUUUAGAUCCAUUCUUCCAAAAAGUGCUCAUUUCUCUAAAAGUUUUGGCUGUUUGGUUGCAUCUAAACAUGCCCUAUAUUGAGGUCUUGUUUAGUUCCUCACCCAAAAACUUUUCAUCUAUCACAUCGAAUCUUUGGACACAUGGAGCAUUAAAUGUAUACGAAAACAAAAACUAAUUGCACAGUUUGGUUGUAAAUCACGAGACGAAUCCUUUAAGCCUAAUUAGCCCAUGAUUAGCCAUAACUGCUACAGUAACUCACAUGUGUUAAUGAUGAAUUAAUUAAGCUUAAUAAAUUCGUUUCGCAGUUUCUAAGCGACCUAUGUAAUUUAUUUUUUAUUAGUAUCCAAAUACUCCUAAUAUCUUGUGAAACAUCAGAUGUAACACUCAAAAACUUUUUACUCUUCAUCUAAACAAGGCCUGAGUCGGGAAAAAACAACAAAAAAAUAAAAGCAGUAUCUUCUCCGAGACCAAGGCAAAAGUAAGCAGAUAGUAACAUAUUUGUAUUCCGCCAUUCAUAUGGGCAGUUUGGUUGUAUCAUGCGCAGCGAAUCAAUCCACCAUCAGCAGAUUUUACCAUGACCUAUCGACUACCAACAUUGUUUUGGAGCCCAGAAUUUCGCUGCUGACCAUUUGCGGGCGGUGACGCGUACCCUCGGUCGUCAUUUAAUUGGCACCGCUGUUUCAGAUAUUAAGAUGUGACCGUCCUCUCUCGUACGUGCUGAUCUGACACGCAUCUAUAUAUAUCAUCAUAGGGUAAUAAGCAUUUGUCCCUGUGCUCAUAAAGUCCUCUAUCUUAAACCAACGACCGGUACGUCUAUGAUUAGGGCUUCAAUUUUGACUAUAUCUGUUAUUAUCUCCCCGUUAAUCUGCAUAUUCAGCCGAUACAAGUUAAAACAAAAGGG
RNAcentral lists this long non-coding RNA (986 nucleotides) under Sorghum bicolor (sorghum). RNAcentral describes it as "long non-coding RNA (SBIC_LNC000167)". The record is from RNAcentral. Lineage: Eukaryota; Viridiplantae; Streptophyta; Magnoliopsida; Poales; Poaceae.